Molecule: ribosomal RNA, 776 nt
Filed under: uncultured Neocallimastigales
Lineage: Eukaryota; Fungi; Neocallimastigomycota; Neocallimastigomycetes; Neocallimastigales
Description: partial large subunit ribosomal RNA
Rfam family: Eukaryotic large subunit ribosomal RNA
Source: RNAcentral
GUAGUCUCGCACAGAUGCAUAUCAAUAAGCGGAGGAAAAGAAACUAACAAGGAUUCCCUUAGUAACGGCGAGUGAAGCGGGAAGAGCUCAAAUUUGAAAUCUUCAAGGUUUUACCUUGACGAAUUGUAGUUUAAAGAAGUGUUUUCUGUUGAAGUUUUGGUAAAAGUUCUUUGGAAUAGGACAUCAUAGAGGGUGAGAAUCCCGUAUUUGACCAUUAUUUUCAGCUGUGUGAUACACUUUCAAAGAGUCGGAUUGUUUGGGAAUGCAGUCCAAAAUGGGUGGUAAAUUUCAUCCUAAAGCUAAAUAUUGGCGAGAGACCGAUAGCGAACAAGUACCGUGAGGGAAAGAUGAAAAGAACUUUGAAAAGAGAGUUAAACAGUACGUGAAAUUGUCAAAAGGGAAGCGUUUGACACCAGUGUUGUUUUCUCGAAAAUCAAUUAAAAAGAGUUUAGAUUUUGUUGUGUAUUGACCUUAACAGCUUGCAUUUCAAUUUUCUUGCUUUUUUUAAUGCACUUUUCGUUUAACAAGUCAACAUCAGUUUCUUUUGUUGUAAAAAGGUCAUUGGAAGGCGGCUUUCCUUUCGGAGAAAGUGUUUAUAGCCUUUGACUCCUGCAAUCGGAGAGACUGAGGUCUGCAGCGUAGAUCCUUCGGGGUUAGAUACAUUUGUGCUAAGUUAUAGCUUUUUAUAGACAACUUGUUGACUAUGAUUAGUCUUGUAGCUUACUCGCUUAUGCUAUUUUACCUACGCUUAGGAUGUUGAGCGCAUGUCUCUCUCU